AGCAUCAUUGCAACAUUAGCUCUGGAAUAUGAAAAUAUUUACGUUUCUAGCGACAAUAUUGGCUUUAGUAGCCUUAGCUUUGGGUUCUCCUGAGCCUUUGCCAGAACCUCAAGGAGGCGGCGGAGGCGGUGGUGGAGGCUCCUUUGGCGGUGGCGGCGGUGGUGGAGGCGGUGGUGGCGGAAAAUGAGUUUUGCUAACUGCUUACUGCUUACCGUUUACGAUUGUAACAAAAAUUAAAAACUAAAAACAAUAAAAUUAAAAAAAAAAAAAAAAAA
This is a long non-coding RNA of Glossina fuscipes, 275 nucleotides long. RefSeq lists it as uncharacterized. The record is from RefSeq and is a predicted model, not a curated record. The transcript has 2 exons. NCBI's taxonomy places the organism in Eukaryota, Metazoa, Arthropoda, Insecta, Diptera, Glossinidae.